GACGAACGCUGGCGGCAUGCCUAACACAUGCAAGUCGAACGAGAACUUCGGGCCGUGGCUUGCUCGGGUGUGUAACGUGAGGGAAGCUGCGCUGAGGAUCGGGAUGACUCCCUGAAAGGGGUGCUGAUAUCGGAUAAUGUCUCCAGAGCUAAGAUUUAUUACCUUUGAUUGGUGCCGCGUUGGAUUAGGUAGUUGGUUGUUUAAAAGCUUACCAAGGCGACGAUCCUUUACUGGUUUGUGGGGAUGGUCAGGGACACUGUGACUGAGAGACGGACCAGACUCCUACGGGAGGACGCAGGGGGGAAUAUUGGACAACGGGCGAGAGCAUGAGCCAGCAAUGUCGCGUGAGUGAUGAAGGACUUAGGGUUGUAAAGCUCUUUUAACCGUGCUGAUAAUGACGGUACCGGGAGAAUAAGCGCCGGCUAACUACGUG
This 433-nucleotide ribosomal RNA is filed under the name uncultured bacterium. RNAcentral describes it as "partial 16S ribosomal RNA". It matches the Rfam family "Bacterial small subunit ribosomal RNA", at positions 28 to 507 of the family's 1533-position model. The record is from RNAcentral.